GGAGGUGGAGCUCAGCAGUAGAGCGUGUGCCUAGCAGGCACAAGGUCCUGGGUUCAAUCCCCAGUACGUCCA
RNAcentral lists this transfer RNA (72 nucleotides) under Camelus bactrianus (Bactrian camel). It matches the Rfam family "tRNA". From Rfam's summary of the family: Transfer RNA (tRNA) molecules are approximately 80 nucleotides in length. Their secondary structure includes four short double-helical elements and three loops (D, anti-codon, and T loops). The record is from Rfam by way of RNAcentral. Lineage: Eukaryota; Metazoa; Chordata; Mammalia; Artiodactyla; Camelidae. RNAcentral also lists the same sequence under 2 other names.